AACCGCCGGAUGCGGAACCGCACGUCCGGUGGUGUGAGAGGGCGACGGGAGUAAUCUCGCCCCCUACUCAAU
Molecule: non-coding RNA, 72 nt
Filed under: Nitrosomonas sp. Nm51
Lineage: Bacteria; Pseudomonadati; Pseudomonadota; Betaproteobacteria; Nitrosomonadales; Nitrosomonadaceae
Source: RNAcentral